This is a long non-coding RNA of Cucumis sativus (cucumber), 552 nucleotides long. RefSeq lists it as uncharacterized. NCBI's taxonomy places the organism in Eukaryota, Viridiplantae, Streptophyta, Magnoliopsida, Cucurbitales, Cucurbitaceae. The record is from RefSeq and is a predicted model, not a curated record. The transcript is spliced from 2 exons.
GUGCAGUAUCUCCUGCUUUGGAACUUACUAGAUAAACUAAAUAGAAAGAGUUAAAGAAAUUAAAACAAAAUAUUUACUAGAUAAACUUCCUCUGGAGUGAUUCACAUAUAACUUACCCUGUAGUUUUAUAACUUAGGCUCAAUCUAAUCUAUAUGCAAACAUCAAUGACAUUAGUGGAGCAAAGCAAAUCUCUGAUGGGUUGCAUGAUAAGAGUGAUUUACUAUGGAGCUUGCUGAUGCUUGUAAGACAAGAGGUCUUGCUAUUGGACAAUGGAAUAGCCUUCAAUAAGGCAAUAAUGGAUGAAAGAGAGCUACAUUCAUCAAAUCCAACUAUAAAUUGGAGAAGUGAUCAAUGAAAUUUGUAAAGAUCUUGGUGUUCACCACUAGGGAGUCAUGAUUGGUAAGUUAACUAGUUCAUAGAGUUGCAAAUUUCUGUUUACUCAAGUUAUUCAUGUAUAUCUAAACAGACUUGUAGUUUUAGUCCACGAACAUGGAGCCCUUAUGUUUCUUUAUAUCGAUUAAACCAUGUGUAUAUGCAAUUAUUCGUUUAGCA